GGGGUUGUAGCUCAGUGGUAGAGCUUUUGCCUUAGCAUUGUGAGGCACUGAGUUCAAUUCUCAGCACCUUA
Molecule: transfer RNA, 71 nt
Filed under: Urocitellus parryii (Arctic ground squirrel)
Lineage: Eukaryota; Metazoa; Chordata; Mammalia; Rodentia; Sciuridae
Also listed under: 2 other names
Description: Spermophilus parryii (Arctic ground squirrel) tRNA
Rfam family: tRNA
About the family: Transfer RNA (tRNA) molecules are approximately 80 nucleotides in length. Their secondary structure includes four short double-helical elements and three loops (D, anti-codon, and T loops).
Source: Rfam by way of RNAcentral